CCGUAGCCCAAGAGAUCGGGAUAACACCUGGAAACAGAUGCUAAUACCGGAUAAUAACAGAUGAUGCCUAUCAACUGUUUAAAAGAUGGUUCUGCUAUCACUCUUGGAUGGACCUGCGGUGCAUUAGCUAGUUGGUAGGGUAACGGCCUACCAAGGCGAUGAUGCAUAGCCGAGUUGAGAGACUGAUCGGCCACAUUGGGACUGAGACACGGCCCAAACUCCUACGGGAGGCAGCAGGC
RNAcentral lists this ribosomal RNA (239 nucleotides) under uncultured Lactobacillus sp. RNAcentral describes it as "partial 16S ribosomal RNA". It matches the Rfam family "Bacterial small subunit ribosomal RNA", at positions 125 to 354 of the family's 1533-position model. Lineage: Bacteria; Bacillati; Bacillota; Bacilli; Lactobacillales; Lactobacillaceae. The record is from RNAcentral.